This 253-nucleotide ribosomal RNA is filed under the name uncultured bacterium. RNAcentral describes it as "partial 16S ribosomal RNA". It matches the Rfam family "Bacterial small subunit ribosomal RNA", at positions 524 to 776 of the family's 1533-position model. The record is from RNAcentral.
UACGUAGGGGGCAAGCGUUGUCCGGAAUUAUUGGGCGUAAAGCGCGUGUAGGCGGCUCGGUAAGUCUGCUGUGAAAGCCCUGGGCUCAACCCAGGAAGUGCAUUCGAAACUGGCGAGCUUGAAUAUGGAAGAGGGUCGCGGAAUUCCCGGUGUAGAGGUGAAAUUCGUAGAUAUCGGGAGGAACACCAGUGGCGAAGGCGGCGACCUGGGCCAAUAUUGACGCUGAGGUGCGAAAGCGUGGGGAGCAAACAGG